AAUGCCCCUUGAGGCGUUGCAGCUCAGCUGCUGGUGCUGCUGCUGUGUCAUAAGGCGGCAGAGAGAGACGGGUGGUGGUCUGUACAGCGACUGGACCGCUGACACAGGCUCUGGUCAUUUUCCACCCCCCCACACU
Small nucleolar RNA from Cyprinodon tularosa, 136 nucleotides. RefSeq annotates it as small nucleolar RNA SNORA17. The transcript has a single exon. NCBI's taxonomy places the organism in Eukaryota, Metazoa, Chordata, Actinopteri, Cyprinodontiformes, Cyprinodontidae. The record is from RefSeq and is a predicted model, not a curated record.